RNAcentral lists this ribosomal RNA (476 nucleotides) under uncultured bacterium. RNAcentral's name for it is "partial 16S ribosomal RNA". It matches the Rfam family "Bacterial small subunit ribosomal RNA", at positions 355 to 824 of the family's 1533-position model. The record is from RNAcentral.
UGGGGAAUUUUGGACAAUGGGCGAAAGCCUGAUCCAGCAAUGCCGCGUGUGUGAAGAAGGCCUUCGGGUUGUAAAGCACUUUUGUCCGGAAAGAAAUCCUUGGCUCUAAUACAGUCGGGGGAUGACGGUACCGGAAGAAUAAGCACCGGCUAACUACGUGCCAGCAGCCGCGGUAAUACGUAGGGUGCAAGCGUUAAUCGGAAUUACUGGGCGUAAAGCGUGCGCAGGCGGUUUGCUAAGACCGAUGUGAAAUCCCCGGGCUCAACCUGGGAACUGCAUUGGUGACUGGCAGGCUAGAGUAUGGCAGAGGGGGGUAGAAUUCCACGUGUAGCAGUGAAAUGCGUAGAGAUGUGGAGGAAUACCGAUGGCGAAGGCAGCCCCCUGGGCCAAUACUGACGCUCAUGCACGAAAGCGUGGGGAGCAAACAGGAUUAGUACCCUGGUAAUCCACGCCCUAAACGAUGUCAACUAGUUGUU